UACGUAGGGGGCAAGCGUUGUCCGGAUUUACUGGGCGUAAAGAGCGCGCAGGCGGUUCAUCAAGUCGAAUGUGAAAGCCCACGGCUCAACCGUGGAGGGUCAUUGGAAACUGGGAGACUUGAGUGCAGAAGAGAAGAGUGGAAUUCCACGUGUAGCGGUGAAAUGCGUAGAGAUGUGGAGGAACACCAGUGGCGAAGGCGGCUUUCUGGUCUGUAACUGACGCUGAGGCGCGAAAGCGUGGGGAGCAAACAGG
RNAcentral lists this ribosomal RNA (253 nucleotides) under uncultured bacterium. RNAcentral describes it as "partial 16S ribosomal RNA". It matches the Rfam family "Bacterial small subunit ribosomal RNA", at positions 524 to 776 of the family's 1533-position model. The record is from RNAcentral.